AGAAUCAACGCUGGCGGCGUGCCUAACACAUGCAAGUCGAACGCGAGAGGGGCUUCGGCCCUGAUUGAGUGGCGAACGGGUGAGUAACGCGUGGGUGACCUACCUUCGAAUGGGGGAUAACGUCCCGAAAGGGACGCUAAUACCGCAUAACAUCCUGCUUUUGAACAGGUGGAGAUCAAAGCUGGGGAUCGUAAGACCUGGCGUUUGAAGAGGGGCCCGCGUCUGAUUAGCUAGUUGGUGAGGUAACGGCCCACCAAGGCGACGAUCAGUA
Molecule: ribosomal RNA, 271 nt
Filed under: uncultured bacterium
Lineage: Bacteria
Description: partial small subunit ribosomal RNA
Rfam family: Bacterial small subunit ribosomal RNA
Source: RNAcentral